CACGCCGUAAACGAUGUCAACUAGCCGUUGGGAGCCUUGAGCUCUUAGUGGCGCAGCUAACGCAUUAAGUUGACCGCCUGGGGAGUACGGCCGCAAGGUUAAAACUCAAAUGAAUUGACGGGGGCCCGCACAAGCGGUGGAGCAUGUGGUUUAAUUCGAAGCAACGCGAAGAACCUUACCUAGACUUGACAUCUCCUGAAUUACCCGUAAUGGGGGAAGCUCUUCGGAGCAGGAAGACAGGUGG
RNAcentral lists this ribosomal RNA (244 nucleotides) under uncultured bacterium. RNAcentral's name for it is "partial 16S ribosomal RNA". It matches the Rfam family "Bacterial small subunit ribosomal RNA", at positions 796 to 1041 of the family's 1533-position model. The record is from RNAcentral.